Humulus lupulus (European hop) is the source of this 107-nucleotide small nucleolar RNA. Lineage: Eukaryota; Viridiplantae; Streptophyta; Magnoliopsida; Rosales; Cannabaceae. The record is from RefSeq and is a predicted model, not a curated record.
AUGUUGUGAUGGGGACACUUUCUCAACAAUUCUUUAAACCUCUUCCAUGCAUCAUAUAAUGACUCCCCCUCAUUCUGGAAAAAGAUAUUGAUCUCUCCUCUAAACUU